This 1694-nucleotide long non-coding RNA is filed under the name Triticum aestivum (bread wheat). RNAcentral describes it as "long non-coding RNA (TAES_LNC027019)". Lineage: Eukaryota; Viridiplantae; Streptophyta; Magnoliopsida; Poales; Poaceae. The record is from RNAcentral.
UAAAAAAAAUUAUGUCAAGCAAUGAUCAAUGAUUUUUUUACAUAAUAGGAAUUAAUAAACAAUGAAUUAAACCUGCUCGAAUGCUAAGAUGUUUCUAACACCAUCAGGUUAGAAAAGGAUAAUGUAAUCAUUUUUAAACACAUCAUGAUGGCUCCAUGUCCAGGUAAAUCUUUGUGGCAGCAACAAUAUAGUAGAGGCAACAGAAAAUAAAAGAAAAAGGUUGUUCCUCCUUUGAUGUUCGUCAUGGUUCCGAGGAACAUUUCCAUCCCAAGAAAGACAUCACAAACGAACGUUAGUUAGCAAUGGAACAUAAAUGUAUUGAAUACAGGAUGAGGCUUAGGAUGAUCAAUUGACUGGAAAAAAAUUCAAAGUCAUUGUGUCAUUCAUACAUGGAGGAAACAUUGUUCGUUUAUUUUGAAAGAUGUAUCGACAAUAAACAGAGAAUGGCUCAAGAAGUCUGAGCCGUUGCCUAAAGUGUUGUGUCAAGAAAAUGACUAACCGAUACUGCAUAUGUUGAAAGCAAGAGCCAAAAGACCGUGGUCAAAUAUUGAAUUAUAUUAUGAUCAAGUAAAUGCUACAUGUUCCACAUAGCAAAUAGGUCCAAUUAUUAAAAAAAAUAACAAAGCAUACAUAAUGUGGCGAAGAACCUGAAACAAUUACAAUUUUAAACUUCUAUACAGGUGCUUAAGAAAACCUUGGCUAAAGAUUUUGUGUCGAGGAAACACUUCAAAUUGUUCCAGAUCAACUUGAACACACUGCCCACAUACACAACAAAAAUAUGAUGCAAGGUCUGCAAUUUUAAAUUAAAAUUAUUACUGCACUACACCAUAAUACUUCUUUUAAACUAUUGUCAUUUUCUGAACUUAUCACUUCCUCAUAUGAUAAUAAUGGUAAAAUCAUAUAAUUAUAUUUCUCUACAUUAGUAAUCUAACACCAAGAAAAUAAAUAAGCAACCAUAAUCAUUUGUCCAAACCACCAUUUCUCUUAUAAUUUUGUAGAAAAGGGCGAAGUUUAGUUCAGGAACAGAAAUAAGAAAGAUAACAAGAUAUACUAAAAUAUAGGAAUUUAACUGUUUGUCAAAUCAUGAGUUAUGUGCUACUAUCAAAUCUUGAGUUCCACACGAGUGAGACACAUCAUGGCUAAGCAUUCAAAAGGAAAUAACAAGAAAAUCAUUAGAUGAACAAAAAUGGAACAAAUUACGAAUUACUAUAGUGAGUUACAAUUUCAGUACACACACAUACGCAAGACAUUUAUUCCCUGAGUAGGGAAUGCAUAUGAAUGAAAAGUACUUAAAGCUAGUUAUUUUCAGUUUAGGCUUCUCCAGAAAGACAGACUAAAAUCACUUGAUCUGUACAUGGGCAAUAGCUUCUUUCCUUUACUGUUGCAUGCUUCUUUUUAUUAACCCAGUCAAGCAAGCACACUAACAAACGAUUUUGUAUGAAUAUCCUCAAAGCAUUCUACACAAGCGGGUUCAUCUGUCAACAUGUUUUCUUUUGGUCUUGGAAGUGACUAUCUAAAAAGUUCUGUUCAAAAGGGGUUCCUACAAAAUUUAAAAAUCCGAAGCCUUUUACAAAGUAAGUUGAUAACUUCCAGCUAACCUUGAUAGGUGCAUGCAUCUUGUUAUUGGAGGACGCAAAGCCAGGUGAACCUUGGUCGAGAAUCUCAUCGGCGUUCAUGGCGGGCUCAACUUUUGC